AUUGUUUUCAUCUCUGCUUGCUUCACUAUCACCAUCCAUUGCAACCACCGCAAUCUUUCUUCUUCAUCUCUUUUUUUUAAUUAAUGUCUUCUUCGUUUCAUCGAUGUAUAUACAAAAAAUUUAAAUAGCAUAAGAUAGAAAUAAUAAAGUUUAUUUUUUUUGGUCAAAAAUAAUAAAGUUUAUGGAACAGAAAAAUUACGGAUCGGAACUGAAACAUCACGAAUCGGAAUUGAAAGGUGUGUCUUUACGUAUGUUAACUCCUGAUGGAGCAAUUGGCUCAGAAAAUCUCUUGAAAGAGUAGUCUUACAGAGAGUUCGGUCAAUGAACUAUCCAUUUCCAUAUCAAAUUUGUGUAGUGUGUUUGUGGUGUUUCUCUCAUUUAUUUGUCCUUGGCUUCUCUUAUUUAUUUGGGAGUUUUAUCCUUAGUGGAAUUUCAUUUCCACUGUUUUAAUAAGGAAUUCAUCACCUUAUAAUUCAAGUUAUGUUUGAAUUUAUUAGUUAAGUUGUUGUAAUAUCAUUUGAUGCAGGUUACAGAUGUCGAAGAACAUAAUAUAUACUUUGACUAGCUUUUCUUAAAAAACUUGCCGUAACUUGAAGGAGGGCAAAGAGAGAACUAAACAAUCUUAGUCAGAGUUGAGAUCAAAAUGAAACAAAGAUGACGUCCCCUGCGGCAUGACGGUCAAAAAAAAACAUGAUGAAGUUUAAGAGUGGAACAUCAUUUUAGCAACUUCUACUCUUGAAGGACCCUUCUUUUGCAUAAAUACUAUGGUUCAUUUAUUUGGAGAAUUUAUUUUUAUUUCUUUUAAAUAUUAUAUUUUCAUUAUUUCUUUUAUCUUCUUUUUCUUAUACCCACAGACAUUGAUGCAGAUAAUCUCAAAAACCUCUUAUGCGGUGGCCAGUCUUCUCUGCACAAGAGUUACUCUUCUUUUAUUUAGAUUUUUAUUUUAUUGAUUUUUUUUAAUGGAAUUUAAAUGUAUUCUGUUAUGAAAUUUUAUGAUGUAAGAACACUUUGAAUUUGGAUCAUUGAGUGUUUUUUUCUCAGUAUAUCAAUAUAUCUAUUGAAUUUUAGUUUACUUUGUGCUAUAAAUCCAAACAA
Mercurialis annua (annual mercury) is the source of this 1095-nucleotide long non-coding RNA. RefSeq lists it as uncharacterized. The transcript is spliced from 3 exons. The record is from RefSeq and is a predicted model, not a curated record. Lineage: Eukaryota; Viridiplantae; Streptophyta; Magnoliopsida; Malpighiales; Euphorbiaceae.